Rhineura floridana is the source of this 12776-nucleotide RNA transcript. It is a transcript of the gene named neurofibromin 1, with no coding region annotated. The transcript is spliced from 60 exons. The record is from RefSeq and is a predicted model, not a curated record. Lineage: Eukaryota; Metazoa; Chordata; Lepidosauria; Squamata; Rhineuridae.
GUUGCGCACGCGCCAUGUGUGUAUACAUCAGCUUCCUCCCACCCUCCCCAUGUGUGUAGCAGCCCUUUAGUUCCCGAGCGUGCGUUGCUCUCUGCGCGCAUGCGCUGCGGCCCGCGCUCCCUCCCCCUGACGCCUAACCCGUAGCGCAUGCUCCUUGUCUUCCUUCCUCCUCCUCCUCCUCCUCGCUCUCUCCCCCACUUGUCGCUCCCCCCACUUCUCUCUCUCUCUCCUGGCGGCCGGGGCUGGUGUUGGGGCGAACUCGCCCCCCCGCUUCCGGUGUGGUGUCAUGGUGGCCUGUAGGCUCUGAUGGCUGAGGAGGAGGAGGGGAGCUGAGAGCUCGGCGGCUGGGUCGAGCCGAGGAGGAGGAGGAAGAGGAGGAGGAGGAAGGGGGCGUCGAGACCCUCGGGACAUGGCGGCCCACAAGCCGGUGGAGUGGGUGCAGGCCGUGGUGAACCGCUUCGACGAGCAGCUUCCAAUCAGAGUUACCCAACAGAAUACUCACACCAAAGUCAGCACAGAACAUAACAAGGAAUGUCUCAUCAAUAUUUCCAAAUACAAGUUUUCCCUGGUUAUCAGUGGCCUCACUAAUAUCUUAAAAAAUGUUAACAAUAUGAGGAUAUUUUCAGAAACUGCUGAAAAGAACUUGUAUCAUUCUCAGCUGAUAAUUUUGGAUACACUGGAAAAAUGUCUUGCUGGGCAACCAAAGGACUCUAUGAGGCUCGAUGAGACGAUGCUGGUUAAGCAGUUGUUGCCGGAGAUCUGCCACUUCAUCCACACCUACCGCGAAGGGAAUCAGCAUGCAGCGGAGCUUCGCAAUUCUGCCUCUGGAGUUCUCUUUUCUCUCAGCUGCAACAACUUUAAUGCCGUCUUCAGCCGCAUCUCCACCAGAUUGCAGGAAUUGACAGUGUGCUCUGAAGACAAUGCUGAUGUUCACGACAUUGAACUCUUACAGUAUAUCAGCGUGGACUGUGCUAAACUGAAGCGUAUCCUACAAGAGACAGCGUUUAAAUUCAAAGCCCUCAAGAAAGUAGCACAACUGGCAGUGAUCAACAGUCUCGAAAAGGCAUUUUGGAACUGGGUGGAAAACUAUCCGGAUGAGUUUACUAAGCUCUACCAGACACCACAGACUGAUCUAGCGGAUUGUGCAGAGAAGCUGUUUGAUCUGGUGGAUGGAUUUGCUGAAAGCACAAAACGCAAAGCGGCUGUUUGGCCGUUGCAAAUAAUCCUCCUUGUCCUGUGUCCAGAAAUCAUCCAAGACAUUGCCAAGGAUGUGGUAGAGGAAAACAAAAUAAAUAAGAAACUAUUUUUGGACAACCUCAGGAAGGCACUUUCAGGCCACAGUGGAAGCAGGCAGUUGACAGAAAGUGCAGCCAUUGCUUGUGUUAAGCUGUGCAAAGCAUCCACCUACAUCAGCUGGGAAGACAACUCUGUCAUUUUCCUUCUAGUGCAGUCCAUGGUGGUAGAUCUCAAGAACCUGCUCUUCAAUCCUAGCAAGCCUUUCUCAAGAGGCAACCAGAAUGCAGAUAUAGAUCUCAUGAUUGAUUGCUUAGUGUCUUGCUUCCGCAUCAACCCACACAAUAACCAGCACUUCAAGACCUGCCUGGCACAGAAUUCCCCAUCAACUUUUCAUUAUGUGUUGGUAAAUUCACUUCACCAUAUAAUCACAAAUUCUGCACUGGACUGGUGGCCCAAGAUCGAUGCUGUGUACUGUCAUUCAAUGGAACUCCGCAGCAUGUUCAGUGAAACCCUCCAUAAAGCUCUGCAAGGUUCUGGUGUGCACACCCCGAUUCGUAUGACGCCGAGUCUUACAUUUAAAGAGAAAAUGACGAGCCUUAAGUUUAAAGAAAAGCCUACAGAUGUUGAAACCAGAAGUUACAAGGUCUUACUGUUAUCCAUGGUAAAACUGAUCCAUGCUGACCCAAAGCUCUUGCUCUGUAAUCCAAGGAAACAGGGGCCUGAGACGCAGGGCAGCACAGCGGAACUCAUAACUGGGCUUGUCCAGCUGGUGCCACAGUCCAGCAUGCCUGAAAUAGCACAAGAAGCUAUGGAGGCCUUGCUUGUGCUUCAUCAGUUAGACAGCAUUGACUUGUGGAACCCAGACGCACCCAUCGAGACAUUCUGGGAGAUCAGUUCACAAAUGCUGUUUUGUAUAUGCAAGAGGCUAACGAGCAAUCAGAUUCUCAGCAGCACAGAAAUCCUCAAGUGGCUGCGAGAGAUUUUGAUCUGCAGGAACAAAUUUCUCCUGAAAAACAAACAGUCGGAUAGGAGUUCCUGUUCCUUUCCCUUCCUUUAUGGGGUGGGAUGUGAUGUCUCUGGUGGUGGAGCUAAUCAAAUUUCUCUUGACCAUGAAGAGACGAUGCGCUGCAUCCCAGGAGCUACACUCCGAAAAGGCAAGGGGAGCUUCUGCGUGGAAAGCACUGCAGGCUGCAGCGGGACGCCGAUAUGUCGCCAAGCCCAGACCAAGCUGGAGGUGGCCCUGUAUAUGUCUCUUUGGAGUCCCGACACCGAGGCGGUGCUUGUGGCGAUGUCUUGUUUCCGGCACCUCUGUGAGGAAGCAGAUAUCAGAUGCGGCGUAGACGAGGUGUCGGUUCACAACUUCUUGCCCAAUUACAACACCUUCAUGGAGCUUGCGUCUGUGAGCAAUAUGAUGUCAACAGGAAGAGCGGCUCUCCAGAAGAGAGUGAUGGCAUUGCUAAGGCGAAUCGAACAUCCGACGGCAGGUAACACUGAGGCUUGGGAAGAUACACAUUUAAAAUGGGAGGCAGCUACAAAAUUGAUCCUCAACUAUCCAAAGACUAAAAUGGAAGAUGGCCAGGUUGCCGAAAGCCUUCACAAGACCAUAGUCAAGAGGCGAAUGUCCCACGUCAGUGGGGGAGGCUCCAUAGACCUUUCGGACACGGAUUCUCUGCAAGAAUGGAUCAACAUGACCGGCUUCCUAUGUGCGCUUGGUGGGGUGUGCCUGCAGCAUCGCAGCAGCGCAGGGUUUGCCACCUACAGUCCCCCCAUGGGCCCCGUGAGCGAGCGCAAAGGCUCCAUGAUAUCCAUGCUGUCGACAGACGGCAACGUGGAGACCCCUGUGAUCAGGUUCAUGGAUCGCUUAUUGUCUUUGAUGGUCUGCACCCACGAGAAAGUGGGCCUGCAGAUACGGACGAACACUAAGGAUCUCAUGGGCCUGGAGCUGAGCCCUGCACUUUAUCCCAUGCUCUUCAACAAACUGAGGAACACCAUCAGCAAGUUCUUUGACUCUCAAGGGCAGGUCUUGCUGAAUGACACCAACACCCAGUUUGUGGAGCAGACCAUUGCGAUUAUGAAGAACCUGCUUGAUAAUCAUACUGAAGGGAGCUCAGAACACCUAGGGCAAGCCAGCAUUGAGACCAUGAUGCUGAAUCUUGUCAGAUAUGUGCGUGUCCUUGGGAAUCUGGUCCAUGCAAUUCAGAUAAAAACUAAACUCUGUCAGCUUGUGAAGGUAAUGAUGGAGAGGCGUGAUGACCUUUCCUUCUGCCAAGAGAUGAAAUUCAGGAACAAGAUGGUGGAAUAUCUGACAGAUUGGGUUAUGGGAACAUCCAACCAGGCAACAGAUGAGGAUGUGAAAUGUCUGACAAGAGAUUUGGACCAGGCGAGCAUGGAAGCUGUGGUCUCUCUUCUUGCGGGACUUCCACUGCAACCCGAAGAAGGAGAUGGAGUUGAACUGAUGGAAGCUAAAUCCCAGCUGUUCCUUAAGUACUUUACCCUGUUUAUGAACCUCCUCAAUGACUGUAGUGAGGUUGAAGAUGAAAGUGCACAAACGGGCGGCAGAAAACGUGGGAUGUCCCGAAGACUGGCUUCCUUGCGACACUGCACUGUUCUGGCUAUGUCAAAUCUGCUCAAUGCAAAUGUGGAUAGUGGCCUUAUGCACUCAAUAGGAUUGGGAUACCACAAAGAUCUUCAAACAAGAGCUACGUUCAUGGAGGUCCUCACUAAAAUCCUGCAGCAGGGCACAGAGUUUGACACCUUGGCCGAAACUGUAUUGGCGGAUCGGUUUGAGAGACUGGUGGAGUUGGUCACCAUGAUGGGUGACCAAGGAGAGCUGCCCAUUGCUAUGGCUUUGGCAAAUGUCGUGCCUUGUUCACAGUGGGAUGAACUGGCUCGUGUACUGGUCACCCUCUUUGACUCCAGACACUUACUCUACCAGCUGCUUUGGAACAUGUUUUCUAAAGAAGUCGAACUGGCCGACUCAAUGCAGACGCUCUUCAGGGGAAACAGUCUCGCUAGCAAAAUAAUGACGUUCUGUUUUAAGGUUUACGGCGCAACCUAUCUACAGAAGCUUUUGGAGCCUUUGUUAAGGACCGUGAUUACAUCGACUGAAUGGCAGCACGUCAGCUUUGAAGUGGACCCGACAAGGUUGGAAUCCACUGAAAGCCUUAAUGAUAACCAGCGGAGUCUCCUCCAGAUGACGGAGAAAUUCUUCCAUGCCAUCAUCAACUCCUCGGCAGAGUUUCCACCCCAGCUUCGAAGUGUGUGCCAUUGUCUCUAUCAGGCAACUUGCCACUCUCUCCUGAAUAAAGCUACCGUAAAAGAAAAAAAGGAAAACAAAAAAUCAGUUGUCAGCCAGCGGUUCCCCCAGAACAGCAUUGGAGCCGUUGGGAGUGCCAUGUUCUUGAGGUUCAUCAAUCCCGCCAUUGUCUCUCCCUACGAGGCCGGUAUCCUGGAUAAGAAGCCACCGCCAAGGAUUGAAAGGGGCUUGAAGUUAAUGUCAAAGGUACUACAGAGCAUUGCCAACCAUGUCUUGUUCACAAAGGAGGAGCACAUGCGAACUUUUAACGACUUUGUCAAAAGCAACUUUGAUGCAGCACGAAGAUUUUUCCUUGACAUUGCAUCAGAUUGCCCAGCCAGUGACACGGUCAAUCACAGCCUCUCUUUCAUCAGUGAUGGCAAUGUACUUGCUUUACAUCGUCUCCUUUGGAACAACCAGGAGAAGAUUGGCCAAUACCUUUCCAGCAACAGGGACCACAAAGCAGUUGGAAGACGGCCCUUCGACAAGAUGGCGACUCUGCUUGCGUACCUUGGUCCUCCCGAGCACAAGCCUGUGGCAGACACCCAGUGGUCCAGUAUAAAUCUCACCAGUUCCAAGUUUGAAGAGUUUAUGACUAGGCACCAGGUACAUGAAAAAGAGGAGUUCAAGGCCCUGAAAACACUAAAUAUUUUCUACCAAGCUGGGACAUCAAAAGCUGGCAAUCCUGUUUUCUAUUAUAUCGCUCGCCGGUUCAAGACCGGCCAGAUCAAUGGUGAUCUGCUGAUAUACCAUGUCUUGUUAACUCUGAAGCCAUACUACGCUAAGCCAUAUGAGAUUGUGGUGGACCUCACUCACGCUGGCCCCAGCAAUCGUUUCAAAACAGACUUCCUGUCGAAGUGGUUUGUCGUUUUCCCAGGAUUAGCUUACGAAAACGUCUCUGCAGUUUUCAUUUAUAACUGCAACUCUUGGGUGAGGGAGUACACUAAAUAUCACGAGCGGCUUCUGACGGGCCUCAAAGGUAGCAAGAGACUCAUCUUCAUUGACUCACCAGGGAAACUGGCAGAACACAUAGAGCAUGAGCAGCAGAAGCUCCCGGCAGCCACUUUGGCCUUGGAAGAAGACCUGAAGGUUUUCCACAAUGCGCUCAAGCUGGCCCACAAGGACACCAAAGUUUCUAUUAAAGUUGGUUCUACAGCUGUUCAGGUAACUUCAGCUGAGCGCACAAGGGUCCUGGGACAGACAGUGUUUUUGAAUGACAUUUACUAUGCCUCUGAAAUAGAAGAAAUCUGCCUUGUAGAUGAAAACCAGUUCACCUUAACCAUCGCCAACCAAGGCACACCUCUCACAUUCAUGCACCAGGAGUGUGAUGCCAUCGUCCAGUCCAUCAUUCACAUACGGACGCGGUGGGAGCUAUCGCAGCCUGACUCCAUACCGCAGCACACAAAAAUCCGCCCAAAGGAUGUGCCUGGAACGCUAUUGAACAUCGCGUUGCUCAAUCUAGGGAGCUCAGACCCAAGCCUACGGUCUGCGGCCUAUAAUCUUCUCUGUGCCUUAACCUGUACCUUUAAUUUAAAGAUUGAAGGCCAGUUACUGGAAACUUCAGGUCUGUGUAUCCCUGCCAACAACACCCUUUUUAUUGUCUCUAUUAGUAAAACUCUGGCAGCUAAUGAGCCCCACCUCACCUUAGAGUUUUUGGAAGAAUGCAUUUCCGGAUUUAGCAAAUCUAGUAUUGAAUUGAAACAUCUCUGUCUGGAAUAUAUGACCCCCUGGCUGUUGAAUCUGGUCCGCUUCUGCAAGCAUAAUGACGAUGCGAAACGCCAGCGAGUCACUGCUAUUCUGGAUAAGCUUAUCACAAUGACAAUAAAUGAGAAACAGAUGUACCCUUCCAUUCAAGCCAAGAUAUGGGGGAGCUUGGGCCAGAUAACAGACCUGCUUGAUGUGGUUUUAGAUAGUUUUAUCAAAACCAGCGCCACAGGGGGGUUGGGAUCUAUCAAAGCAGAGGUUAUGGCAGACACUGCUGUCGCUCUGGCUUCUGGGAAUGUGAAAUUGGUUUCAAGUAAAGUUAUUGGAAGGAUGUGCAAAAUAAUCGACAAGACCUGUCUGUCUCCAACUCCUACAUUAGAGCAGCACCUGAUGUGGGAUGACAUUGCCAUUCUAGCCCGUUACAUGCUGAUGCUGUCCUUUAACAAUUCGCUUGAUGUGGCUGCGCACCUCCCUUACCUCUUCCAUGUAGUUACUCUGUUGGUGGCCACUGGUCCUCUUUCCCUUAGAGCUUCCACCCAUGGGCUGGUCAUCAACAUCAUUCAUUCUCUGUGCACUUGUUCACAACUCCACUUUAGUGAGGAGACCAAACAAGUGUUGAGACUCAGCUUAACAGAGUUCUCACUCCCCAAGUUCUACUUGCUGUUUGGAAUAAGCAAAGUGAAGUCGGCGGCUGUCAUUGCAUUUCGAUCCAGUUAUCGGGACCGGUCAUUCUCUCCUGGCUCCUACGAGAGGGAGACGUUCGCCCUGACAUCUCUGGAAACGGUGACAGAAGCUCUGCUGGAGAUUAUGGAGGCAUGUAUGAGAGAUAUUCCGACUUGCAAGUGGCUUGACCAGUGGACGGAACUAGCUCAGAAGUUUGCAUUCCAAUAUAAUCCAUCCCUCCAACCAAGAGCCCUUGUUGUCUUUGGUUGCAUUAGCAAGCGGGUGUCACAUGGGCAGAUCAAGCAAAUCAUCCGGAUUCUUAGCAAGGGUCUCGAGAGCUGCUUGAAAGGCCCAGAUAACUACAAUAGCCAAGUUCUAAUAGAAGCCACAGUCAUAGCACUGACCAAGCUGCAGCCACUUCUCAAUAAGGACUCACCUAUGCACAAGGCCCUUUUCUGGGUGGCCAUGGCUGUUCUGCAGCUGGACGAAGUCAAUCUGUAUUCAGCAGGCACAGCUCUCCUUGAACAAAACCUCCAUACCCUGGACAACCUUCGAGUGUUCAAUGACAAAAGCCCCGAAGAAGUCUUCAUGGAGAUCAGGCGGCCUCUGGAAUGGCACUGCAAGCAGAUGGACCACUUUGUGGGACUCAAUUUCAACUCUAACUUCAACUUUGCGCUUGUGGGACAUCUGCUAAAAGGCUACCGGCAUCCCUCUCCAAGCAUUGUAGCAAGGACAGUAAGGAUUCUUCACACGCUCCUCGCUCUGGUUAACAAACAUAGGAACUGUGACAAGUUUGAGGUGAAUACCCAGAGUGUGGCUUACCUUGCAGCUUUACUCACUGUAUCUGAGGAGGUUCGAAGUCGGUGCAGCCUAAAGCACAGGAAGUCUCUCCUGCUGACAGAUGUUUCGAUGGAAAAUGUUCCCAUGGAGACAUAUCCAAUUCAUCCCAGCGAAGUCAGCUGUAGGACGCUAAGGGAAAACCAGCCAUGGUCUUCUCCCAAGGGCUCAGACAGACAUCUUGCUGCCAGUUACCCAACUGUGGGGCAGAUCAGCCCACGCACGAGGAAGUCCAUGAGUCUGGAUAUGGGGCAGCCUUCUCAAGCCAACACUAAAAAGCUACUAGGUACAAGAAAGAGUUUUGACCAUUUGAUAUCAGACACAAAAGCGCCUAAAAGGCAAGAAAUGGAAUCAGGGAUCACCACUCCUCCCAAAAUGAGAAGGGUAGCCGAAAAUUAUGAAAUGGAAACACAAAGGAUAUCGCCCCAACAGCAUCCACACCUCCGGAAAGUAUCGGUCUCCGAGUCCAAUGUCCUUCUGGAUGAAGAAGUCCUCACAGAUCCCAAAAUCCAAGCCCUGUUGCUGACUGUCCUUGCAACACUAGUAAAAUACACUGCAGAUGAGUUUGACCAGCGAAUCCUGUAUGAAUAUUUAGCAGAAGCCAGUGUGGUUUUCCCAAAGGUCUUUCCUGUUGUGCACAAUUUAUUGGACUUCAAGAUAAAUACCCUGUUGUCACAGUGUCAGGAUCCAAAUUUAUUGAACCCAAUUCAUGGCAUUGUUCAGAGUGUGGUUUACCAUGAAGAAUCUCCGCCCCAGUAUCAGACAUCUUAUCUGCAAAGUUUUGGAUUUAACGGCUUGUGGAGGUUUGCAGGACCAUUUUCCAAGCAAACGCAAAUCCCAGACUAUGCUGAACUCAUAGUAAAGUUCCUCGAUGCCUUGAUCGACACCUACUUACCCGGGAUUGAUGAGGAAACCAACGAGGAAUCCCUGCUGACGCCAACUUCUCCUUAUCCUCCAGCAGUGCAGAGUCAGCUUAGUAUUACUGCAAACCUGAACCUCUCUAAUUCCAUGACCUCACUCGCAACUUCCCAGCAUUCCCCAGGGAUCGAUAAGGAGAACGUGGAGCUCUCCCCGACCACAGUGCACUCCAACAGUGGGAGGACGCGCCACGGCUCCGCCAGCCAGGUGCAGAAGCAGCGCAGCACGGGCAGCUUCAAGCGCCACAGCAUUAAAAAGAUUGUCUGAAGCUUCCCGCCUUCCUUUUCCUCCGUGUUUUUCACGUGGCGUAAUGGAAAAAGAAAUGGCAUUCGACAGUGACCAGAGGAGAGCAUGAAAUUCCCAUGGGUGAGGUGCAGGUGGCUAAGAUGAGUGAAGUGCCAGAUGAUUGGAAGAAGGCUAAUGUUGGCCCUAUCUUCAAAAAGGAGGAACCUGGGAACUACAGACCAGUCAGCCUGACAUCGAUCCCUGGGAAAAUUUUGGAGUGGUCAGUCUGUAAGCACCUUGAAAACAAUGCAGUGAUUACUGGAAGCCAACAUGAAUGAAUGAAUAUAAUUUAUUACGGUCGGGGACCAGCGUACAAAUACAGACGAUCAAAACAUCAUAAAAAUAUUAGUGUAGUACAAACAAUUUCAUGCUAAAACAAGCUCUAUUUAAAAGCCGAUUCUCAUGUCUGUGUGAGCUGCUGAGUUAACAGUACUCUUUGGCAUGUAAUGGCUGCAGCACAAAAACUCGCAACCUUAAUUGAGACUUGGGGCAUUUGAUCGGAUAAAAGGUAAUUAACAUAAAAUGCAUCGUCCCUGCCCGGGAUUGUUUGUAAAAUCGGGGUAAUAAGUGCGAGUCGUAGGUCCCGAUAAAAUACACAAUACAGUAAAACAUGGCCCACGGACUCUACUACACCCACAUCACAGGGGCAUACAUGCUCAGCAAAUGGAAUUUUUGAUAUCUGCCGUCUAAAAGUGCCGAUGGUAAAAUGUUAAACUUAGCCAGCGUAAAUGCUUUUGUCAGUCUAGGGGUAGGGAGGGAAGCCAAAUAGUGUGCGGGUGCAAAAGCCCCUGUGUUAAGUCUAGAACCUGGAUAGGAAGCAGCUAGGGAGAAGUGAUUUUGAAGUUCAGUGUCUAGAAUUCACUGGAGGAUGGCCGUCUUCGCUUUGGUAAGGCCUAGCGGAAGAAUAGCAGUGGGGAAGAAUCCUAAACUUAAAAGUUUCGUGCUUAGGGUUUUCUUCCAUUUUGACUGAAAAAUGUCAGUGUGAGAGGGGCCAGUCCCACUGGUAUAAACAUCAUUUUUAACCAAUACUUAAUAUUGAGCAUCCAUAUGCGGGCCUCUAUCGAGGGGUGCCCUGCUUCGAGACGUAGGGUGGCAUUGGGGACACAGGAUGGAAAGCCCAGUAUAGUCCUCAGGAAUUUAGCUUGGACAGUUUCAAAGGGGGAAUAUUUGCCAUAAACACUUAUCUGAGAGCCAUAUAACAAUUGGGUGAUCACUUUGGCAACAAAUACCUGUAUGGCAGAUGGAACAUAUUGCCCUCCUUUAGUAUAGAAAAAUGAAAGGAGAGCCUUCGUGCUCCUCUGAGCAUUGGCAAUGGCAUUUUUUCGUUUGUAGAUGCCAUGUUCCAGAUGAAUGUAGAGUUACCCCUAAAUACCUGUAAGAUGUUACUUGUUCAAUUGGGAGUCUGUUUAACUGCCAUCGGUACUUCACCCUCUUCCAGGUGAACACCACAACCUUUGAUUUAUCGUGGUUGAUUACCAAUAGUUCUUUAUUACAAUAGUUGGCAAGCGCCCUCAGCAAGCGUCGCAGGCCAAUACUUGAAAGGGAUAGAAGUACUACAUCAUCCGCAUAGAGAAGAGUAGACAAGAGACCUGUUUGACAGAGUAGGUUGAUGGGAGGGAACCAGCACCAGACUUUUUACCAGGGAGUUAAUAUAAAAGUUGAACAAUGUAGGGGCUAAAAUACAUCCCUGUUUAACUCCCUUAAAAGUAGGAAUAGGCCUAGACAGGUAGCCGGUGUUGUUGCAUCUUAUACGUAAUUGGGUGUUUAAACACUGUAUAAGUGCUAACAAACACCUGUCAAUGUUGGUGGCCUCGAAUUUUUCCCAAAGCCUGUCCCUUGGUAUGAGGUCAAAGGCUGACUUGAAAUCAAUAAAGACUGCAUAAAGCCCCCCCCCCUCCAGUUUAGUUGUGUAUUUUUCCCUAGAUGUCGUCGAACAAGUCCGUGAUCCAUGGUAGAGUGUUCCGCUCUGAAUCCGACUUGUUCCUCUGCCAAAAUGUUUUUCUGCACCAGCCAGUUUUGUAGUUUUUCGUGUAGGUGGCUGGUAUAUAACUUGCUGAUGUAUUUAUCAAGAACAAAUCCUGCCAGACUCAUCUUACCUCAUUUUUUGAUUGGGUAACCUCCCUGAUAGACUGUGGGAAUGCUGUAAACAUAAUCUCCACUUCAGCAAUGUUUUUGACAAAGUGCCCCAUGAUAUGCUGAUUAGCAAGCUAGCUAAAUAUGGGCUGAAUGAAACAAUUAUCAGGUGUAUCCAAAGCUGACUACAGAAUCAUAGUCAAACAGUACUUAUUAAUGGUUCCUUCUAAAACUGGGGGAAAGUAAUUAGUGGGGUACCGCAGGGCUCGGUCCGGGGCCUACUGUUCAACAUUUUUAUUAAUGAUUUGGAUGAGGAGGUUCAGGGAAUUCUUAUGAAAUUUGCAAAUGAUGCAAAUAGGAGGGAUAGCUAAUACGCUGGAAGACAGAAACAAAAUUCAAGGCGAUUUUGAUAGGCUAGAGCAUUGGCCUGAAAACAACAGAAUGAAAUUUAACAGUUGAUAACAGUUGUUGAUAUCUAACUGAAUAUGAGCCAAUAGUGCAAUGUAGCUGCAACAAAGGCAAAUGCUAUUUUAGGGUGCAUUAACAGAAGUACAGUUUCCAAAUCACGUGAAGUCCCCUCUAUUCGACACUGGUUAGUUGAGAUAUUGCACUUUAAGAAGGAUGCAGACAAACUGGAACAGGUUCAGAAGAGGGCAACAAGAAUUAUCAGGGGACUGGAAACAAAGCCCUAUGAGGAGAGACUGAAAGAACUGGGCAUGUUUAGCCUUGAGAAGAGAAGACUGAGGGGAGAUAUGAUAGCACUCUUCACGUACUUGAAAGGUUGUCAUACAGAGAAGGGCCAGGAUCUCUUCUCGAUCGUCCCAGAGUGCAGGACACGGAAUAAUGGGCUCAAGUUACAGGAAGCCAGAUUUCGGCUGAACAUCAGGAAAACCUUCCUAACUGUUAGAGUGGUAGGACAAUGGAACCAAUGACCUAGUGUCUUAACACUAGAGGCAUUCAAGAGGCAGCUGAACAGCCACCUGUCGGGGAUGCUUUAAGUUGGAUUCCUGCAUUGAGUAAAGGGUUGGCCUUGAUGGCCUUAUUGGCCCCUUCCAGCUCUACUAUUCUAUUACUAAACCAGGAGAGCUUUGAGGAAGCAGGUGGUUACCCUAUCAACACUGUUUUCGUAGAUUGUCCUUAUUGUCCACCCCAGUGAAGCCUCACCAGCACUGUAACCUGUUUCAACUCUUACUGACCUAUUGUAGCAUUGGUCUGUUUUUACUGUCGUCUUCCUUUGGCUGCCCUACGAGACAGCAGAGCUUCGCAUUCCAAACUGCCUCUCACUUCUCCCUCGGUGCUGUAGACAGCCUAUACCCAGCCUUUGGCCACCAAGCCUUCCUGUCAGGUCUUUCUCCUUCUUCCUCAGUCCUCUUCCUCGGCUGUCCUCGUCUUCUGGCUGUCCAAACCAAGCACCAACCAACAUGGGCUGACCCUGAAUGACAAGCACUCAGCUGUGCGUUCUCUUCUUCUGCCCUCCCCAGCCUAACCCCAGCCAAUCACACUAAGAACUCUAAACCUGCAACUACCCACCACAUUGUGCAUACCUUUUUUUCUUCUUUUGCUUGCUGGGAAUUCUAUCUCCAACUCCUCCUCAGCUGUCAGUUAAGGUAUCCCAAUGACAGGUAAGCCAACCUUCACCUGACCAGACAGAAGACUUUCCCCAUCAAACACAUUAUAAUGAACAUUACAAUACAAAUGAUAGAACACACUACCCAUUAAAAGACACUUCUAUAAACAUUUUCCAUAGUUUUGCAUCUACACCCAU